GACGAACGCUGGCGGCGUGCUUAACACAUGCAAGUCGAACGGAAAGGCCCUGCUUUUGUGGGGUGCUCGAGUGGCGAACGGGUGAGUAACACGUGAGUAACCUGCCCUUGACUUUGGGAUAACUUCAGGAAACUGGGGCUAAUACCGGAUAGGAGCUCCUGCUGCAUGGUGGGGGUUGGAAAGUUUCGGCGGUUGGGGAUGGACUCGCGGCUUAUCAGCUUGUUGGUGGGGUAGUGGCUUACCAAGGCUUUGACGGGUAGCCGGCCUGAGGGGGUGACCGGCCACAUUGGGACUGAGAUUCGGCCCAGACUCCUACGGGAGGCAGCAGUGGGGAAUAUUGCACAAUGGGCGGAAGCCUGAUGCAGCAACGCCGCGUGCGGGAUGACGGCCUUCGGGUUGUAAACCGCUUUCGCCUGUGACGAAGCGUGAGUGACGGUAAUGGGUAAAGAAGCACCGGCUAACUACGUG
Molecule: ribosomal RNA, 468 nt
Filed under: uncultured bacterium
Lineage: Bacteria
Description: partial 16S ribosomal RNA
Rfam family: Bacterial small subunit ribosomal RNA
Source: RNAcentral